Molecule: long non-coding RNA, 3367 nt
Organism: Cygnus olor (mute swan)
Lineage: Eukaryota; Metazoa; Chordata; Aves; Anseriformes; Anatidae
Exons: 4
Source: RefSeq, a predicted model, not a curated record
AGUUAGAAGGAAAAAAAAAAUCUAUAUUGUAAACAAAGCUGCUGUUGGACUUAGGCCCAAAUUUGUUUGUUGGUUUGUUUGGUUGUUUAAAAGCAAAUUUCAAAUAAAACUUUUAAUUCCUUUUGUUCUUAUAGCUUUAUGGACAAUUCUAAAGUCUCAACAAUCCUGCAAUGUCUACAUCCCUACAAUGUUUGCAAAGCUUUUGUAAACAAUAGCACUGUUUGAUAUAAUUCAUAUACCCUAGAAAACGGCAUUAAUCCUGUGUCACUGUGCAAGUUUUAGAAGUAUCAUGGUAAUUCAAUUCCCGGGCCUGAGGUCAGGAAAGCAGGUGCGCCCACGUGCUUCUGUCAUCCACAAAAAGUGAUAGAGCAAUGGGUUUGUAGAGGGGCCCGUGUGCAUGGGUCACGCUGUGUCGUGCUGAAGGUGUGCCUCAAUGUAGUCCACCCAAGGCAGAGCAAAUUACAAAGUUGGAGUCCUGUUCUGCAGGCACACAAGUGCUCCUAUUGCUUAGGAAAGUCAGUUUUCCCUUUAUUUGUCAGUAAAUUUUACCAUCCCCUUUAGACGGAACUAUGUAUUCUCAGUUUCACUUUUUAUUCUCCUGUAGCUGACUCAGAGACAAUUUGUUAGAGGAAGUUGAGCAGCUAACGAGUACCUGAGCCAAGCACUUAGCUAACACUGGAGUCCUCAUGAAUAGUGUUCUGUGUCUGUUAAACUCAGCAAGUUUUUGAUGGUACGUGCAAACAAAAAUGCUUAAAACAUGACACUACCGGGUGCUUGGACACUCAGUUCUUAAAUCCUAGCAGGAUUUCCAGAUUUUCUGUUCCCCCACCUGCAGACCCUCAUCUGGUAUCUGCUCUCAAAGGCUGUGCUGUUAGCCUCGGAACAGCUAGAGAUGCCACUUUCUGAGGACUGAGGAGAUAGUUGCUGUGCACUACAGGAGUAUCCCUGGUAUCCCUGGUCACCACCAAUCAGUUGGGGUUGUAAAGUCAGUACCACUUACGAAACUGUAGCUGCCUUUUAGAAUAUUCUUCCCCUAAGCUAAUGGACACUGACCUUGCACAUGAGUUUCUGUAUCUGUUUUGAAACUAUCAACACGUAGACAUUCUCUGCCCUACACCCCCCUUCAGCUUCUCCUACUUCUCAGUCAACCAGAAUUAUCUGUUGUGCAUUGUGUAUCAUCAUGAAUGUCUCGUUUUGGUUGUUGUCAGCUAGUCUGGCAGGAUGCACAAGGUAUUUCACCCAUCCUUUUCCUAGUCAAAGACACGUGACGCUCCAGAUAGGUGCUAUUGAUCUGUGUUGACUUCUCUACCACAGCUGUCAUCUCCGUGAACGUCCAUCCCUCUCCUCACUGGACAGUAUAAACAUGUUUAUCUGUUCCACUGGCCACAUUGACAUCUGGCCAUGCUUCAAGCUUGUUUUGGCUUGCUCUGCUCAUGCUAUAGCUGUUACAUUCAUCUUGCCAAGUCUCAUCUGAUCUCUGUAGGCUCCUCCCUCCCACCCACAUGCGUUAAGUGCAUGUCCACCAUCCCAUCCACAGUAGACCACCCCCAUUGCCGUUCUCUUAUACCAUAUUUCUUCCCAGUCUUCAGGACUAGCCUUGGCCAGAGACAUCCCCAGCCUGAAGCACACAGACACAGACAUUCUCAGCAGUGCUCAAGACAAGGGAGAGGGGCUAGCAAUGAGAACCCUUAAAUAGAGAAUAGGCAGAAUACUCUGUUUGACUUUGGCUACCUGAUCUAGCAUCAAUUCUGCCGAAUUUUUUUUUGCUUCAAAAGGUGUUGAACAACUUUGGCCAGCUAGGGUGACUUUCAAAAGCACGUAGGGCAAUAAAAAAUGCAAAGCUAAUGUUGUCCAGCUACAAAUUAAUGGAACAACUGAGAAACAGUCCUUAGUCAAUGCUGUAUCCCUCUCAGUAAUAUCAGAGAUCUGUCUUUAACAGCAUAAUUUUUGAAUGUUGCAUCUGAUCAGUUCCCAGCUUUCUAGGGACAUUUUUAGGCAUCAAAGAGCAGAGCCUUACCGAUUUGGAGGAGGACCAGGAAAAGAAGAAGCACAUGCAACUGUUGAUGUGCUGUUAGUGAAGCCUUCGCUACAACGUCUGCAUUUCCCUACAGCAGCAUGCACAACUUUGGAUGAAUGGAAAAGUUUUAAAUAAUGCAAGCUCAAUGUAACAGAAGAUGAAGAUAAAAGAAUAGAGACUUACAGCAGGAGAAAAAAUAAUGGAGGAGCAUCAGUAAAACUUGGAUGCUGUGCAUUCUAAUUUUGAACUGGUUUGAACUGGACUGCAGAGGAGCAUUGCGGGAAACUCAAAUGAGAACAGUGGAAGAGUGCUUAGUUUAAGUCCCCUUCAGGGCCUAGCUGAAAGGACAGAAAGUUCUGGUCUUCGUGAAUGGACCCAGUAAAAAACACACCAGAAGGUUAUCUUAUUUUUUCAAACACUCUGGCAACUUCAACUUUUACUGCACUGCCAAAUACUAGACAACAAGAGAAGCUGGGAAGACAAAUGGAAAAAAGAAGGCAGAGGAAAAGAGCUGCGUCCCAAGCUUUUACUUCGUCUGUCAUUUUAAGAAACGGUGCCAUUUCCAAACAACUAUUUUGUAAUUGUGUCUUAAGAUCUCAGCAGACACUAUGUGUGAUGUACACGUAGCUUGUGAGUUGCCUGCUGUGCAUGGAGAACUGCACAGUGAGGGUCUGGCACAGUGGGAGGGGGAACACGCCCAGCCUGCCUGUAGGCACCAGCGUGGAGGUUAGUCAUCCUGCUGAGUCAACAGGAGACACAAGCACCUCCAAAGGGUGCCUCUGCCUACUUGUCGUCUAAAGUUAGACAGCUAAAGUUAUAAUGAUAGGCUCAUAAGCAAUGCUCAUUUAUGCACGAAAUUCAUCUUGCAUGGGUGAUCUGGAUUACCAGAUCAAAAUCUUUUCGUCUGGAGUAAACUCUGUGAGGGGCUGGGCAGGGGUCUGCAGCGGCUGUUUUAGGGCUCUCCUUGCUGCCCUUCUCAAACAAAUGCAGAAGGUGGGAAAAGGUCAAACGAAAGUCCCAGCAGGAUUUGUGUUCACGCAAAUCUAGUGGUAGAAACGAGACAGUAGAGUCUGAAUUCUGUCAAGGAAGUUGCUAAAAAGAGGCUGGGACAAGGGAAAGGAUUGCACAGCGGAUGUAUUCACCCCUCUGUCAGCAAUUCUACCUCUUUGCCCACCUCUGCCUUUCACUUGCAUAGAGACUGAUUCCUGGCUGGUAUUUUAAUGGAGUGAAUUCCCACUUACCAGAACAUAGUAAUUGUUCAGGCUUCUUGUUUACACAGGUCUAGAUGUACAAGUUUUGUCCUGUCAGUCACAAAUUUCUAAGCAUCUAGACUCUACUUCAAUAAACAGG